RNAcentral lists this unclassified non-coding RNA (363 nucleotides) under uncultured bacterium. RNAcentral's name for it is "contains 16S-23S intergenic spacer region". The record is from RNAcentral.
UCCCUGUUACCAGGGCAGUCUGACUAGAAAAAUUCAACUAGCCACAAGGGUUGCGCUCGUUGAUGGACUUAACCAAACAUCUCACGACACGAGCUGACGACGGCCAUGCAGCACCUGUCACUUGGUUCCCGAAGGCACACUCUACUUUCGUAAAGCUUCCAAGGAUGUCAAGCCUGGGUAAGGUUCUUCGCUUAGCUUCGAAUUAAACAACACGCUCCACCGCUUGUGCGGGUCCCCGUCAAUUCCUUUAUGUUUUAGUCUUGCGACCGUACUCCACAGGCGGGAUGCUUAACGCGUUAGCUUCGCUACUAGAAGGGUCGAUACUUCUAACAGCUAGCAUCCAUAGUUUACGGCGUGGACUAC